Small nucleolar RNA from Humulus lupulus (European hop), 108 nucleotides. The record is from RefSeq and is a predicted model, not a curated record. Lineage: Eukaryota; Viridiplantae; Streptophyta; Magnoliopsida; Rosales; Cannabaceae.
AUGCCAUGGUGAGGGCAUUUUUGAAACAACUCCUUAAACCGCUCCCAUUCCAUGCAAUAAGGAUUCUUCAUCAAGUUGUUGAAAUGAAGUAAUCUCAUUGCGGAGCUU